CCUACGGGAGGCAGCAGUGGGGAAUUUUGGACAAUGGGCGCAAGCCUGAUCCAGCCAUGCCGCGUGUGGGAAGAAGGCCUUCGGGUUGUAAACCACUUUUGUCAGGGAAGAAACGGUCUGAACUAAUACUUUGGACUAAUGACGGUACCUGAAGAAUAAGCACCGGCUAACUACGUGCCAGCAGCCGCGGUAAUACGUAGGGUGCAAGCGUUAAUCGGAAUUACUGGGCGUAAAGCGUGCGCAGGCGGCUUUGCAAGACAGAUGUGAAAUCCCCGGGCUCAACCUGGGAACUGCAUUUGUGACUGCAUGGCUAGAGUACGGUAGAGGGGGAUGGAAUUCCGCGUGUAGCAGUGAAAUGCGUAGAUAUGCGGAGGAACACCGAUGGCGAAGGCAAUCCCCUGGACCUGUACUGACGCUCAUGCACGAAAGCGUGGGGAGCAAACAGGAUUAGAUACCCUGGUAGUCCACGCCCUAAACGAUGUCAACUGGUUGUUGGGAGGGUUUCUUCUCAGUAACGAAGCUAACGCGUGAAGUUGACCGCCUGGGGAGUACGGCCGCAAGGUUGAAACUCAAAUGAAUUGACCGGNNGAGAGNGCGAGACGACGACGAGGGAGGAGG
This 618-nucleotide ribosomal RNA is filed under the name uncultured bacterium. Its description in RNAcentral is "bacterial SSU rRNA". It matches the Rfam family "Bacterial small subunit ribosomal RNA", at positions 338 to 948 of the family's 1533-position model. The record is from RNAcentral.